GUGGCAUAAUUAAGCAUCCAAAUCGUCACUUAAUAGUAAAUAGUCAAUGAAGAGCAUGCAUGGAAGAAGGCAGGGAUGUAUGGAGAAUUAAGGGGUGAUAUUGGAGAAAUAAGCCUCAUUCAUGGAGAGGACCAAGAGCAGGAGGGAGAUUUGGGCUCCUAAAUCCUACUGAGGAAUUUAAACUAUUCAGAUCUGCAGGAAAUAAGUCACCUCAGCAACUCGUAGGAUCCAGGCUCAAGGAGCACCGUGAUAAAAUAUCAGUGUAUGUGCCUCUGUGGUGCCCAUUUCAUUCUAUCACAUAACUAGAAGAAUACGAUGAAAAAACCCCUGAUACAUCGGUGACUUCAAAUAAAAAUUGUCACUCUGCCAUACACACAUUUAAUGUUCUACAUAUAGGACCAUUUGACGAGAAUAAGUACUAGCGUUAGAAGAGGUUGUAUUGAAGAAAUGCAGAGUAUAGGGGAAGGAAAGUUACAGGUAAUAGUUUACCCUGAAACUACUUACAUGUUUAGAAAUAAGAAUCCUUUCUUAUUUCCUUUGCAAAGCUGCCAGCCUUUCUUCACACACAAUGAUCGUGUUUUAUUUGUACUACUGUAGAAGCCACAAGCUCAGGUCAUGGAUCAGUUCUACACAGAUGUAAAGAAAAAAGAUAUGCCUACACACAGAUGAAAGUCACCCCAUGCAAAUACUAGUCAUAAUGAACUUUUAAAAUUUUAUUGCCUUAGAAUAAAUCUCAUAAUUAUUGCUCACUGUAGAAGUAUCAUAAAAAUAUUAUUUACAUUAGUCAAAUCAAUUUACAAAGAAGAAAUAUGCAAUAAAGCCCAAGGAGAUUGUUACAGCAUUACAGAUAUCCAGAUAGGCAAAGGAGACACCUUCUUUGCAUAGGUUUUGUUGUUUUUUUUUUUUAAUAUACAUAACUAAGUAAAAUAUAUUCUAUGUAAACAGCACAUGAAAAGUAAGGGUACUUAGAACUGUACUAGCAAUUAUAUUCUUGAAGAAUUUUCUGUCCUAAGCAUGAGAGUAUAUCCACAUAUAGUUUAUUUCCUACCAGUAAUUUACUCAGAAACUUAAAGAUAGUUUAAUUCCAUAGCAUAAACAAAAAUCACUAUAAGGAAGUAACAGUGCAAAUUUGUAUCUUCCGUGCAACCUGAUACUAGUAUGUAUAUAAUGUUUGUUAUAUUUUAAUGAGGAUAUUCUCAGCAAUAUACAUGUUUACACCUUUUUUUCCUCCAGUGUUGGAUUUUAUUUCAUUUACCUCACUUACCUACCUUGCAAGUUUAAGAAAUGUACUAUUUAUUCAUCAACUCUACUGUCUCUCUGACUUCUUCAGUUACAUAGACAAACGCAUUAAAGAAAAAUGACAUGGUUCGUCUCAUAGAAGUUAAUGUCAAGAUAAGCUAUCUAGAUUGUAUUCCUGUCAAUUGAAAUGAUAAUAACAAAAAAUAAACAAUAACAACAAAAAACAGAGCUUGUUUUACUUUUUUUUCCCAGAAUACACUCUCAUAAUUAAACUUUCUACUUCUCCAAGUAGCUGACUGUGUACUCUUGCACAGUGGGAGGUUUUCUCCACAGACAUAUUGACUUGGACAAUAAACAAAGCAGAAAUCCCUGACUGGAAUUUACAGCUAAAUUUAACCAUGCAUACUGUUUAUAAAAUUUGCAUAUCUGUCUUUCAACAUUAAGAAAAAAAAACCAAAGUUGCAGAUCAAUGAACUUAGACAAUGAAAAAAAAGAAAAACCAGAGAGAAAUGAUAAAUUUGUAACUUCCAUACUUAUGGAUGCUGUAUGUGAAAGGAAAUCUGCAGAAACUCACGGUGCUGCUGUAAUGAGAUUUGAAAGAUGAGAGCAUACUAGAAGUAAAGGAGCUUCUCCCUAACAAAGAUGGCCUAAAUGGUACUUCAUUAUACUGAUGAAGUGCCACUGAAUUGUAGAAGACGUUUCCAGCAACUUUUAUCUCCCUGUCCAACCACAAAACACACAGAAACGGUUAAUAUGGCUUAAAGACAUCACCCACCUUUUCCCCACAGUAUUCAAUUUCCCCAUGAAACUUUAGCAGACCAGUCAGCAUGGGUUUCUUACAAUUAAAGAUGGCAAAAAAAAAAAUUUCACUGAUACUUUUUCAUUGAUUCUUUGUCACCGAGCAUCAUCAUCACUAACCUAUUAGCCAUCAGUAACAAGUAUUCAUCUCUUCUUUUUUGAUUUUUGUCUCUCUUGUAACAGCAACCAGGAUGCCUGGAAGUCCUAGGAAUUUAAUUCAAAGGAAUUAGUCUUUCUAGUUCAUUUAAAACUAAGUUAUUUUACUCAGAUCAGCCUUUCCACAAAAAUUAGAACUUGGUAUACAACUGUGCCAGGCUUUGCAUUGCUUCAUAAGACACUAUUUGCAAACAUUCAGAUAUUUUUAUUCUGCAAAGUGCAAAGAAAACUAGGAAAACUAUUUCAGUUACAUAGAGCAUUUACCUAGAAGCCACCAACAUACCAUAUGCAUUCUGGUCCUGCCCAGAAAAUCACAAGAAAAUAUGACUUCCAGUGAGGUAACCACACGAUGCUGAGAGCUCACUGAGAUGUGUUUAUGACACUGGAGCAACGGGAGUCAAAACCUACAAUAGUCCAAAUGCAAACUGGGGGUAGGAAAACAAGCCAGCAGUUGAACAUUUCAGAAUCAGGCACUAAAAUUAAUAAAUUAAAGAUGAAUUUACUCAGACUGUGUGUACAUGGUCACCUCACGGGGCCAUCACCAGGAAGACAUGAGAUCUUCUUAGAAGAACUGGCUCUACCUGAAGCUAAUUAACAGAUAUGCUGACUGUAAAUAAAAGCAGGAGGUGGUAAACAGAAAAGAAUGGGAAGCUUGGUGGGGCUCCCAACUGAUGCUGCAUGUCAAUAAAUGUCAGUUAAAACAUAGAUGCUGCUUCUGUACUCUCUUAAGGAAAUAAUUAUAAUCACAUUAUGCUGUAAUACAGUCUAAGCUAAUCUCCAUGCUACAUAAUAGGGAAGAUAGUUUUUGAUGAACUCUACAUCAGUUAAAUAGAAAUUCAAGCAUGUAGAAUUUGUUUUGUUUUACAGAGAGAAUGAAACAGCUUAUUUAAAACUGAAAAUGGUUAUUUUCAACUUUACUACCCAUAAAAGAAGAAGAUAUUUCUUACAUCCCAGUCCAACCAGUGGCCCUUAGAAAAAUACCGAGCAUUUCAAAACCACCAGUGAGACAGCACAAACAUAUAUACUUAACAAACAAGAGACUGACACAUAUAUCGGCCGUGUUUUUUUUAAGCUCAGACAGACCUUUUUCAAUUUAUCUUCACCAUUUCCCAAUUCUUCAGAAGAUACAUUACUUAACUAACUUCGUAUUGGCAUGAGAUUCCACACGUUUUACCAUCCCAUUUUUCUUCAUUGUCUCCUUCAGUUUUUCUGCCAACAAAGAGUUACCUGUAAGGCAGCUCUGGAAGUACUUAAUAUUGAAGAAAUAUUGAUGCUUAACAUCCAUUUUUGCCCAGUGUCUCUAAAAGUUAACUCCCACUAUAAAAUGUUUCCUAAACCACUCUCUCAUUUAAAGACCCGGUUUUACAAACCUUUUCCCAAGCAAGCAGACACCUUAAAGCAGACACCAUAAUCACUGACAUUAGUAUAGGCUAUUUUGCAUGAGAAAUUUUUGCAGGAUGUAAUCUCUUCCUUGAAGUUUCAGUACUUAUUAUCUGCUACUUAAAUAAAAGAAAUGUAAUAGUCUCAAUCCAACUACUUGUUAACACAUUUAUUUCACACCCAAUUACUUCCUACAGUAAUUCCAGUUUCAAAAGAGUGGACAAAUUUGGCAUGCCUCUCACUUCUUGACACUACAAUUAAGAUUCACAUUAAGACAUACUACUAAUGUAAGAGAGUUUGCACUAUUCUCACUAUUCUUUACAUACGUUUAGAGACUGGAUUACAAUCUCUUCUUUCUCUUCAUAGAUUACUAAGUCACUUUUAAAUAAGCAUAUGUGUAUUUGUUGCAUUUUUAGGAAAAUGUAAAAUUUCUUCAUUUUUUCCUUCUUUUUUGUUAUUUUUGUGAUGCACAAAUUCUAAUGUACUCACAUUUCUUCCUUAAAAAUGGUUAUUUCAGGUAAAGAUAAUCAACCACAUAGCACUAUGGUUCAAAAAGUAUUUGGACUCCAAAGAUACACAAAUGGAAAGUGGUACCUUGCUCCUUCACUGAUGUGCUAUCUUUUCUCCAUCCUCUCAUAGAAUCAUAAAAUCAUAGAAUCUCAAGGUUGUAAAGGACCUAUAAGAUCAUCUAGUCCAACCGUCCUCUCUCACAGUUUUGGUAGCAGAAUGACAAACUUCUUUCUAAACAAUACUCAAACCACUUCUUCCUUUCAAACUCUGUCUGGCUAUUAUCUCUUCUAAAGAUUACUUAUAACAUUUUAAAGGGAAAUUACUAGUCAUCUACUGAAAAUGUACUAGAAUCAAAUUCUGCUGAGAGAAAUUUUAAGGAAAAUUUGUAUACUUUAUAAGGAAAAGAUACAAAAUCUAUUUCCAUCAAUAUAGCUGUCAAGUAAACUGAGGUACAAAGGAGUAAAACUAGAUAUAUCUAUUACAGGUACUGCAGAAGUCUUCUAACACCAACAUUCUAUCCACUGGCUUUGGAAGAACAUCCAAAAAGGUUCACAGUUGUAUUUAGGGCACAGUUGUAGCAAAUUCUGUAAAGUUGUAGCUGCAAAAGCAAAAAAUUCAGCACAAAGCCUGAGACAUCCAAAAUCACAACCUAUUCAUAUGAAAUUUAAUAACCUGAUGUUUGCAUUAUCUGUGACUGGCUUACACCUUUCCUGGAUGAUUAAGUUUCAUUUCUGAUAAAUUCUGCUAAAUUCCAGGUUACCAAAGACCCAAAGACCAGAUUUGGUGAUUCAUAAGUGUACUUCUCCUUACACAAGGAUAGCUACACCAGUUCAGAUCAAAGGUCUGUUUAGCUCAGUAUGCUGCUUCCAAAAGUGGCCAUAAGUCAGAGCCAAGAGUAUAAUCACAGAAAUAAAAUACAAUAUUUUCCCUAAAUAACCUCCAGUCUUCAACUACCUUUCACUCAGGGGAACUCCUCAGGCUGGUAUAAUUUAUCCAUUCAGCUUCUCCUAAUGGGUCUUAUCCAUCAAGAACUUAGCCCAUUCUCCCUCUAAUCCACAUAUUGUUUGCAUCCAUAACAUCUCAAAGUAAAUCCACCUUGUGCACAGAACUGAGGACUGUAUUGCAGCAAUGCUGAGUUUUGUGGCUAUUCACUAUUCAGUGGACACAGCUAUUCACAUUUGCUUAUUAAAAGCCCACCAAAACAAAACUAACAUGAUUAACACAUCCCUUGAAAGAAACUUUGAGUUUGCACAUAUUGCCAGUCAGCUGAGUUCAGUAGGAACUAGCAUUCUAAACACUGAAAAAUGCUGCAAGAGCAAGAAUUAUAGCAAGGUUGAAUAUAGCUGGAAAACCAGGCAGACAUCAUGAGUGAAAAAACAGACACCUUAACAAAAGCAGCAAAAAACAUCCAUCUGCUUCCCUCAGUCCAGCAAGUGAUCCUUCCUUGAUCCAAGGAAGUUAAAUAUAGAGCUGCUAGAAAUUUUUCCACUGUAUCUAUUUUUGAUGGGAAAUGGGACUUUCAGCUAAACACUUUUUGGUUGGAUUUUUUUUUUUUUUUUUUUUUUUUGCAUUCCUGAAGUAUGUGCUUCUGCAAAUGUACUUCUCCAAAAAGCCAUACUUACAAACCAAAAUAUUUGGAUUGAAAACCGUAUUAAUCUGUGGCUUACCUGCUCUGUGCAAUAGAUCUCCUCUAUCAACUGAUUUCACCAUUUAAAGGCCAACUCCAAUUAUAGGUCACUUUGAGGGAUCCCCUGCUUCCUACACUCCCUUCAAAGAACAAAGAUCAUGGUGCAGCGUUAGAGAUGGUAGGCACUCUCAACCUUACAGAAUAAGACCAGCAGGCUACCAGAUUAAAAUGUUAAAGGAGAACUACAGUAACAUUUUUUCAAAUCUAGAAGUAUUGGUUCUCAGACAAAGUCUUCCAGUCCUCUGAAUUUUGUCAGAGCGUGUCAUAUUUUUCAUGGAAAAUAAAGACAAACAUUUAAAAAGCUUUUUAUUUUUUAUCAGAAGUUCAUGCAGGAGUUUUACAGGUCAAGGAAGGUCUUAUUCGUUAACCUGCAGAUUCCAGCCUAACAUCUGGAUUUGUCAAUACAAGAAUCAGAAACGCAUUAAACAGAAGUAAAUUUUUCCAGUAUUCCAUAGCAGGUUAGUGAGACUGUUCAAAGGCUAAUCAGAUAAAACCAAAUAGAAACAGUAAGGCUCCCAUAGAUGGGAUAACUUAACGUGCAAGUCAUAGAAUCGUAGAUUUGUAGGUUUAUAUAGUGGUUUACCUUGGAAAAGACCUUAAAGAUCAUCUAGUUUCAACCACACUGUGGAAAGGGUUGUCCCUCACUAAGUCAGCCAGAUCAGACUGCCCAGGGCCCCACCCAACCUGAGCUUGAAUGCCUCCAGGGAUGGGGCAUCCACAGCUUCUCUGGGCAACCUGUCCCAGUGCUUCACCACCCUCUUUGCUGAGAUAACUUAGUGUAUGAGUCCAAAGUUAUGAAAGACUAACCAGCCUAACAGCUCGGGUCAGCAAAGAAUAAGGAAAGCUUCCAACAAUGCGCAUGCUUACUAGAUAAGAAAUUUGUAAUGCAAAAAAAUGUACCAGAAUUGGCAAAGUAGCAAGAAAAUAAGGCAUUCCACUUAUUAGUCCCUUUGAAAGGUCCCCAGUUCAGUGAUUUCCAGAAGGAACUACUUUGACAAGGCCUUGAGUACAAUAAGGAGUGAAUUAUCCCAUUCUGGACAUUAUCACGCCUUUUCCUGGGACCCCAACAUCCAUUGCAACACUUGACAACGUGUCAUCCAGAAAGCACCCGAACCUGACAGAGAAGAACCCAACUAACACCACGAGAGACAAAGUUGAUACUUGUUAGGCUUAAAUGUCUGUUGUGCAUCUCCUUCCUUGUGGUUGUUUCCAGUCACACAACUCCCCCACUGUGACCCUGCCACAAAUGCACAACAAAUGAACAUAUAAAAGAAAUAAAAGAAAUCAAUCAAGACUGAAUCUUUUGUAACACAAUUGUGAGCCCACAAAAGACAACUGCAAAAAAAUCUCCUACCAAUACAGUACUAUUUUCUUUUCCCCCACCACACACACACAGGGCUAUUAUUGCCAUCAUUAGCACCAACUAAGAACCAGGACAACUCAAAGGAACUGGCAAAGAAAUAUCCAUAUUAAAAACUCAAUGGGUAAAAUGAAAGGAAGGACAUUUUGCUGUUACAGUGAAAUUCCUCUCAAUGCUUUGUUUUUCAAUCACACCAUUCUUUCACUAAAAUAAAAAUAGAGAAAGGUUUUUAAGAGUGAGUUUCUACUGAGACAGCACCUGAGUGUUCCAUACAAGCAGUUCCAAGCACUGCCUAUUGCUAAUUCACUGCACAGAGUUAACAUCUUUGGCUGUGUAAUGUUAUAAAGUGAAAAGUGCUAACACAACUUGUCAUUCUUGAGGCCAAUUUAUUCAUCAAAAUUAACACAAGCCCAAGCCUGCUGUCUUUAUUCAUAUUUGGAAUCAGCAGCCACUUAUGUAUUGUCCCAGCAAAAUUAGUACAGUGAAGGAUUAUGCGGGAUCUAACCCCAGAGAUAAAAAUUUUGUUUAGAGUAAGUGAAACACAAAGAAUAAAUAUUCAAAAUGAGUGAUGAAAGAUAUGUUUGUUAUUUCCAUUUUAACUCCAGGGCAAUGAGUAAUUUCUGUAAGAAUUUCUAUGUGUGAUUUUUAUCACUCAGCAUUUUAAAAUUGACUGUUGCGCAUCCUCCAUCAGAAGCUGGACUGGAAACAGUGAAACUUAAAAAGCUCCAUUUCAAAUAUGUAUGAGAAAUGUUAUUCCUUUAAGUUGUGCUACUAUACACUUACAAGGCACAAAAGCAUUAGAAUUCUGCAUUAGAAUUUCUGAGCAGCUUUGUAUUGUUCUAGGAUUUCACAGAACAGGUUCUUCUUCAAAUCAGUUAUAUAAAAUUUUGCUUUUCAUUACAUCUGGAUUUUGUAUCCAUGCAUUUCAACACCAAGAGUCUUUUGUCCAGUUCCCUUCUUCCUCAGAAGUGCAUGUCCCUAUUAAUUUUUCAUUUAAUUUACGGAAUGAGGGAGGGCAGACACAUAAGCUAACGUCCCCAUAUAAUUAUACAGUGCAAAAACUGGUGAGUCAAACUGGACUGCACUGCCUAAUCUUGUCUCUGCAGCAACUCAGAUUGCCCAGACUAACCUGCUGGCAGAUGGGGCAUCCUUGGCUCAAAGCUUGACUUUCAAGUCUACUUCUACCAGGCUGUAUUCUGUAGUACAGAAUAGUACACCGGCUGGGCUAUAUUUCUUGGCAGGAGUCACACGCUUGCUCACAAUGUAGCAACUGAGUCAUUCCAAAAUUGAUUCACAGCAUAUGAGAAAGAACUCUGCACUCCCCAGCUUCUCCAUUCUGAUUCUUCCAUAUAACCUGUAAAUUCAACACUCAGAAAUAUGCUCAAACAUGGAUACUUUGAAGUUAACAGAAGUCAAGUUAAAAAACAAGGGUCCCCUUCAUUCCUCCAGAACAUUCUGACAUUGAAAACCAGAUACACGCAUGCCAGACCAUCUUCAGAUGGUAAUUCUUAUUUGCAAGCCAUUCACCUCAGACGGUUACAGCUCAGUCAGGUAAGCUAGAUGGCAAUGAACAUUUAUGAGAAAAUUUGCAGGGGUUUAUACCCGAACUGAUAAAACUAAAGUUCUCAAAAAUGAAGAUUCAUCAAAAAGGCUUCACAGCCCAUGCUGGGAGUAAAGAUGGCGCAUGUGCCAUUUGAGCAUGUAUGAGCAUUAACAACAUUUUGAUGAAGCAUAAGGAGAGAAUUGUAUCACCACAAAUGUCACUGGCAUGCUGGAGGGCUUCAGUACUCUCACUGGGACAAGCUUUGGCUUUUAAGAGUGAACACUGCAUGUGUAUAUUCUCAUAUUAGCACCAGAGACCAAUCUUCUUGCCAGCCUCGAUCCACAUAACCUUACCUCAAUUCAAGAGUACACUUACACAUUAAUGAUCUAGCAGUUGCUUUAAAGUAAGUGACUGGUUACCUGGGCAGUCAGAGGAUUACAUCCAUAAAUACCUCGUGUGUAGAUACUGAACAGCAUGAUAUUUGUAUUAUUCUCCAUGUAUAGUAAAAAUGAAAAAAAAAAAAAAAAAACCAAAAACCAAAACAACAACAACGGCAAAAACGAAACAAAACAAAAAAAAACAUUGACUAUUUAAUGCAGGAAAACUAAAAGCUUAUCUUUAAAAGUCACAUCACACCAUGAGGUAUUACAACCUGUAGCACAGGUGGAAAGUAAGUAAAGCUUGCUACAUAAUAGGCAAAAUUGAAAACCAUUACUAUGGAAAACAAAACAAAACAAAACAAAAGGAUUGCCCUCAGAACGUUUAAUUUCAUUUAUAAUCCUCACAAACCAUGUUUUCUUGCAUUCCUUCCUCCUCUGUUGUUUCACCAAAGGGAAAUGAGGCAUUAUAAAACAACACGGACAUUGCAGCCCAAUCCCUGACUGCAUGGUGUGCGGGAAUAAAGGUAAACCUUUUGAUACACCUUUACCUUAUGUUGUCCUCAUGCUAAACUGCGGCUGCCACUAACUUCCUAUGCUGAUUCUGCUGUUCAUGCUGCUUCUCGCUAAGCCAACACAUCCAAAGCAGCCUCAGGAAGGAGUCUAAUCAAGGCCUAUGCUUCUUUUCUGCAGAAAAUCCUCCAGCCACAACCUGCAGCUUCACUGCUGCACUGCUGGAGCAGUCCUCAGAACACAGCACUGAUCAAUCACUUUGUCAUCCUCCUUUGUAGUAAAGGGACAGCAAAGCAAUCUUCCAGCAGUUUCUUCUCCUUCUCUGUCGCCUGCUCACUGCACCCUAGAAGUAGCAAACACAACAGAUCACGCACAGUGUAUUUUUUUUCUCCCAGAAGUCUCUCUCCUGUAUGACCAUCAUGGUAGUGGGCCCACUGGCAACCAGAUUUGAUAACCCUGAAAAGUUAUAAACAAAACAUUCUUCUUCUUGUCUACAAGGAGUUCUCAAGAAUCACAAUAAAAUAUAGGCUGUCUCAGAAGUUGUGUCAAUGCUAUUUAACUCCUCUGUGAAAGGAAAAAUACCUAUCAAAAUAUAGGAUAUUUGUGCAUACUUGUACUCUCCAAUCCCUGUUUUUUUCUUUGCAAGUUUAUAGAGCUGGAUUUUUACUCAUAAUGCCUGCUUUGCUGACUUCCAGAAGUGCAUAUCAAUGCAUUCCUUCCCAUACUUGGACUGCUCAUCACACUGCUCAGUUUGGGACCACACGUGGCACGUGGGAAAAAAGUCUGAACUGGAAAAGAAAAAAAAAAUGUGGUACUUUUUAGGGAAAAACUGAACAUAGCACGAUGCUACAACUCCACCUUACACUACUGCACCUACCUGCAAAGAUAUUCUUUCCUCUACUUGCCCUUUACUCUGUUCUCACAAAGCUCUACUUUCUCAUUUCAUGGUGUCGUUCAACAUGCUGCCCAUGCAAAAUCCCAUGCUGUCCAUGCAAAAUCCCAUGUCCUGUAGGUAAUCACUGCAGAAACAGUCUCUGGAUGAAGCUUUGUGGCCUGUGACAGGAAAGAGAUCAGCCUAGACAGUCCUUUCUGAAUUUAACCCACGAAAUUUGCCUCAGAAUCAUAGAAUCACAGAAUAGCUGGGGUCAGGAGAGACCUUAAAGAUCACCCAGCUCCAAUUCCCUGCAUGGGCAGGUCUGCCUUCAGUCAAGGCUUCAGUCUAACAAGAUUAUUUGAACAAUUUCCAUUGAGUAAAACGUCCCUUUCAAACAUUAUUUAUAAAAGCACCAUUCACUGACCUAUCCAACACAGAAAAGUGACCCACCACAACUUACUGGGGAACAGAGGUGGAAAUUAAAAAGCAAUUUUUCCAUUAUGAACUAACGAUCUGUAUUUUUUAAUAAGCAAAGUGCCAUAUAAACAUUUUAUGUGGUAUUUCAUCUUCAAGUAAAAAUAAUAAUAAUAAUAAUGAAAAGCCAAUUUACCAACCUUUCAAACUAAAAGCUCUGUAGUUGCCAUUAUUUGGUUUGAUGUGACCUAUGCAAUCAAAUGAGCAAAGCCUUAAAAGCAGACAGAAAUUAGGCUUAGAGAAUCCAAUGACAAGCAAUAGCCAGGAUGUUUGAACUGAAGUGGCACCAACAUUUGUGGCAACAAAGACUUGCCCAAGCAUUAACUACUUGUUGCCAAAUCUACAGGUUUGCAAAGAGUUGCAGCAUCUGUAACACUUUUGCCUUCAUCUGCGGGUUUUCUAUUUCUGCAUGGUGUGAUGACUGGACGUCUGUUUGGAAACCACUACAAAGUGUUCUCAAGUAAUCUGUACGGCUACAGCAAAGCACAGUUUUUCAGGAAAAGCAGCUGUUGUAUUUUCUGGAAAAAAACACACAGCCCAUUUUUAAGACCUGAGCCCUGGUUCCUUCAUCUCAGUGCUUCCAGUGACUUCAGUGAAGCCUCUGCUGGAGGAGCACACAACGGCUGUGACUCCACAGCUGUAAGCUAUCCAGGCUGCUUUUCAGUCACAUAAAGCAGAGCGCCCUCCCCACGGCUGCGCUGUUUUAUAUAUCUGAAAGACAAUUAGAGAAAUUAUCACAGUCUUCCAAGGAAAUUUGGGUACGUCAUCAUUUUUAAACUGCUACGAAGUUCCAUAGUUCCUGCUUUGUUACUGAACAGCUUCAGGACGCUCAGCAUCUUCACACUGCAUCUCUUCUCUCACUGUAAGAAAACAAGAGCAUAUAUGAACGACAGCAAAACUGCAGCCAAGCACGCUAUUGAGAAACUUGGUAUUCUCUUAUUUCUGGGAGAGUUACAGUGUAAUUCUAAACUGCAGCAUUCGGCAUGUCUCCUGAGCUUCCUCGCUGAAAUAUUGCGAUGGAAAUUGCACAGCAUCUGUGUUGCUUUUGGAAAGCAUCACCUCACAUCUGCUGUCUCAAGUGCAGAGCUUAAGUUCAGCGUAAAAAGGUACUUUGUAACAGGCACUGGGAGCCUGACAGAGGUAAUUUACGGGCUCGCCCGGCUCUGCUGACCACGUUGGCUCAGCGCUCCGUUCUGCAGAGCUCUUUAACUGAAACACGGCUCAGAACGCCGUCCGGCCCGCGGCUCUCCGUGUCCCAAGCACAGGACAGGUUUUCCAUUCGCUGGGCGCUGUGCGGUCUCCCAGCACCUUACAGCAGGGAACCGGCCGUUCUAACUGAGCUCUCAAAGAACCGUGCGCUGCUCUGGGACAAGUUCUGACCAAAUAUACGUAUACGAUUGAUUUCAUAGCCUGGAACUGCCAAACAGCAGCGCGCUGCCACGUCCUCAGCAGUUCCGUGUCACGUCCGAGCGCAAUCGCUCCCCUCAGGUGGGCUGGGGGCGAAGAGAACAGUUCUGCAAAUUACCGCAAUGAUUACACAGCGAACACGUUUAUCGCGUCGUUAUUGCCCAUUUCCUCCUCGACGGGAGACCUGCUCGUCUAUUUACAUGGGGAGGAGAAAGGGGCGGCGGAGGAUCCCGUCGGCAGAGGCAGCGAACUUCGGGCGGCCCUUUCCCUCCCGCCCCGCUCCGCUCCUCCGGCCCCAGCGCGGCGCGUUCCCGCGCUCGCAGUCAUUACGGCCGCAGCGGGAGCUCCACGCGAGCGCGAAGCGCAACAGCGCCGCAAUUAACAAACAAACGCCCCGGCCUGGGCGGACGGCAACCCCCCGGGACGGCCCCGCCGCGCACCGGCCCUUAAGGUGGUCCGGAGAGGAGAGACGCGACGGCCCCAAGGAGGGGGGAGGGGGAGAGGAGACGGCGACGUCUCUCGGGACCGUCCCCUCAGCCCAGACAACUCGUGGGCGCUGAGCCCGGCCUGGGCGCGUGCGGAGCGCGGAGGUCCGAGAGCGGCCGUCGCCUCAGAGCCCCGCGCUGCCGAUCCCCGGCUCCACCGGGCUCUCCCGCGGAGGAAAGCGCGCGCAGAGAGCAGAAGCACUUCACGGAGCAGAACCGCGCUUUGCCACUCAGGGGAGACAGCCCACAAAAAGCACAACGUUCCCGCAGCGGAAGGGCCGAGCAGGGCACGCCGCACCGGGACCCAGCGGCCGCUCCACCUUAAGGCGGGCCGGGGUCGGCUCCGC
RNAcentral lists this long non-coding RNA (13150 nucleotides) under Gallus gallus (chicken). RNAcentral's name for it is "lncRNA (ENSGALG00010006349.1)". Lineage: Eukaryota; Metazoa; Chordata; Aves; Galliformes; Phasianidae. The record is from RNAcentral.